This 106-nucleotide small nuclear RNA is filed under the name Castor canadensis (American beaver). The record is from RNAcentral. Lineage: Eukaryota; Metazoa; Chordata; Mammalia; Rodentia; Castoridae.
AUGCUCACUUUGGCAGCACAAAUGUUAAAACUGAACAAUACAGAGAAGAUUAGCGUGGCUGCUGCACAAGAAUGACAGGCAAAUUCAUGAAGUGUCCCAUAUUUUA